AUGCGAUACGUAAUGUGAAUUGCAGAAUUCAGUGAAUCAUCGAAUCUUUGAACGCACCUUGCACUCUUUGGUAUUCCGAAGAGUAUGUCUGUUUGAGUGUCAUGAAACUCUCAACCCCCUCAUUUUGUAAUGAAGUGAGUCGUGGGCUUGGAUUAUGGCUGUCUGUCGGCUUCAUUGCCGGCUCAGCUGAAAUACACGAGUAACCCAGUUUGAAAAACUGACGGCUUGACUCGGCGUAAUAAUUAUUAUCGCUGAGGACGUCUAACCUUCAAAUCGUUAGUGGUGCUUCUAAUGCAAAUCAUUUUAAGAUUUAGACCUCAAAUCAGUCAGGAUUACCCGCUGAACUUAA
RNAcentral lists this unclassified non-coding RNA (349 nucleotides) under uncultured Symmetrospora. RNAcentral's name for it is "partial contains 5.8S ribosomal RNA, internal transcribed spacer 2, and large subunit ribosomal RNA". The stretch from base 1 to 102 matches the Rfam family "5.8S ribosomal RNA", at positions 53 to 154 of the family's 154-position model. Lineage: Eukaryota; Fungi; Basidiomycota; Cystobasidiomycetes. The record is from RNAcentral.